RNAcentral lists this ribosomal RNA (497 nucleotides) under uncultured bacterium. RNAcentral's name for it is "partial 16S ribosomal RNA". It matches the Rfam family "Bacterial small subunit ribosomal RNA", at positions 28 to 507 of the family's 1533-position model. The record is from RNAcentral.
GAUGAACGCUGGCGGCGUGCCUAAUACAUGCAAGUCGAGCGAACAGACGAGGAUCUUGCUCCUCUGACGUUAGCGGCGGACGGGUGAGUAACACGUGGAUAACCUACCUAUAAGACUGGGAUAACUUCGGGAAACCGGAGCUAAUACCGGAUAAUAUAUUGAACCGCAUGGUUCAAUAAUGAAAGACGGUUUUGCUGUCGCUUAUAGAUGGAUCCGCGCCGCAUUAGCUAGUUGGUUAGGUAACGGCUUACCAAGGGAACGAUGCGUAGCCGACCUGAGCGGGUGAUCGGCGACACUGGAGGUGAGACACGGCACAGAGUCCUACGGGAGGCAGCAGUAGGGAAUCGUCGGAGAUGGGCGAAAGCUUGACGGAGCGGUGGCGCGCGAGUGAAGAAGGUCCUCGGAUCGUAAAACUCUGUUAGUGGGGAAGAACAAAUGUGUAAAUAACUAUGCACGUCGUGACGGUACCUAAUAAGAAAGCAACGGCUAACUACGUG